UUGGUGCCAAUGAUGGGUUUAAAUAUACUAUGAAUUUCUAAUAAUGAAAACAAUUUAAUCUGAGGCACCUU
This is a small nucleolar RNA of Cornus florida, 71 nucleotides long. The record is from RefSeq and is a predicted model, not a curated record. Lineage: Eukaryota; Viridiplantae; Streptophyta; Magnoliopsida; Cornales; Cornaceae.